This 575-nucleotide ribosomal RNA is filed under the name uncultured Thermocladium sp. Its description in RNAcentral is "bacterial SSU rRNA". It matches the Rfam family "Archaeal small subunit ribosomal RNA", at positions 52 to 632 of the family's 1478-position model. Lineage: Archaea; Thermoproteati; Thermoproteota; Thermoprotei; Thermoproteales; Thermoproteaceae. The record is from RNAcentral.
UGCGAGUUUUUGUAGUAAUACAAGGCAUACGGCUCAGUAACACGUAGUCAACCUACCCUAUGGACGAGGAUAAUCUCGGGAAACUGAGCAUAAUACUCGAUAGAUCAUAAUGCCUGGAAUGGUUUAUGGUUGAAAUGAUUCGUUCGCCAUAGGAUGGGACUGCGGCCUAUCAGCUUGUUGGUGAGGUAAUGGCCCACCAAGGCGAUUACAGGUACGGGCUCUGAGAGGAGAAGCCCGGAGAUGGGUACUGAGACAAGGACCCAGGCCCUAUGGGGCGCAGCAGGCGAGAAAACUUUGCAAUGUGCGAAAGCACGACAAGGUUAGUCCGAGUGAUUUCUGCUAAAGAGAUCUUUUGCAAGUUCUAAAACCACUAGUGAAUAAGGGGUGGGCAAGUUCUGGUGUCAGCCGCCGCGGUAAAACCAGCACCUCGAGUGGUCAGGAGGAUUACUGGGCCUAAAGCAUCCGUAGCCGGCUCUGUAAGUUUUCGGUUAAAUCCAUGCGCUCAACGCAUGGGCUGCCGAAAAUACUGCAGAGCUAGGGAGUGGGAGAGGUAGACGGUACUCGGUAGGAAGGGG